Molecule: ribosomal RNA, 253 nt
Filed under: uncultured bacterium
Lineage: Bacteria
Description: partial 16S ribosomal RNA
Rfam family: Bacterial small subunit ribosomal RNA
Source: RNAcentral
UACGUAGGGGGCAAGCGUUAUCCGGAUUUACUGGGUGUAAAGGGAGUGUAGACGGCGAUGCAAGCCAGAUGUGAAAGCCCGGGGCUCAACCCCGGGACUGCAUUUGGAACUGUAUAGCUAGAGUGUCGGAGAGGCAGGCGGAAUUCCUAGUGUAGCGGUGAAAUGCGUAGAUAUUAGGAGGAACACCAGUGGCGAAGGCGGCCUGCUGGACGAUGACUGACGUUGAGGCUCGAAAGCGUGGGGAGCAAACAGG